Molecule: non-coding RNA, 74 nt
Organism: Chishuiella changwenlii
Lineage: Bacteria; Pseudomonadati; Bacteroidota; Flavobacteriia; Flavobacteriales; Weeksellaceae
Source: Rfam
GAUCCGGUAGUUCAGUUGGUUAGAAUACUUGCCUGUCACGCAAGUGGUCGCGGGUUCGAGUCCCGUCCGGAUCG